GCUCUCGUUUCCCUUUCCUCCGCCUCCAGCUCCCAGGUUUGUUCCUCAAUCGGCAGCUUGUUUGCCGGCGUUUCUCUGUUCUUGAUACUUCCUCGCCUGUCUGGUUUUUGCUUGAUCUGUUCCUAGGCUGUGAUGAUCAAAAUACCUACCUAUUUUCUGAGGGAUUUCGAUCCCCCUGCAGAGAAACCAAUUCAUUCUUCUGAGCCUUCCAAGAUCUGUGCAGUUUCUUGAUUUUUGCGCUCGAUCUUAUUUUGCAACCGAUUCUGAAAAACCAGAUUUGAGUUGAUGGGAUGAUAAUCUCUGGCAGAAAAUCGUUUUUAGUGUUGACCAAAAUUACAGACUACAAUUAUCUGAUCAACUCUCGAAUCUCGCUGAACCUCUCUGUUCUUUCGCCUCUCUGUAUCUUCACCUGAUUAUCUUGGUUUCUGCGUUUUAUCCUUUUUUUGACCGAUUGGGGAAAUUAGAUCUAAUUAAUGGUUGAUGUGAUGAUAACCUUUCACAGAAAAUCAUAUUUAGUGUUGACCAAAUUACAGACUACAAUUAUCUGAUCAACUCUAGAAUCUCAACCAAUCUGUUAUUUCGUUUCCCGUGAGCUUCGCCUGAUAUCUUUUCUCCUUGCGCUGAAUUUCUUUGGUUACUUUCUUGCAUCCGUGCACAACAAGCCGAUGCUCUGGAUGAUUAGAGGAAGGAAGCAUGGUAAUGUGCACGGAGAUGGACUGAAUUGGUCUGCAUGUCUGCCCGCCCUGACGCCUUCGGGCUUUGAUCUCGCGGGCCUGGAUUUGACCCACACUACCACUUACCCCAAAAAUAUCGUUUAGUUUUCAGUAAUCACCUCGUUUAAUCUGUCGGUAGUCGAUUUCUCUGUGGCCUGUUGGAUUUGGUUAAUUACCUCUGUAGAUCUAUAGGCCUCGUCAAUGGCUCAAACUGUUUGAACAUUGAUCUCAGUACGUCUGGGCUCGGUGGCUAAUUAGCCAGUUACACACAGCAGCCACCACCAUGGCAGCAAUCUCUGUGCGAAUGGUCAGUAAGCCCACCUAUAUCGACAUGUUUUGUUGUGCCAAUUGAAGUAAUGACUCUUUCUUGUGCUCACUUCUUUGAUACAUCAACUCACAAUGCCAUAACUGAACAGUUAUUCUGCUUGAUAGUACAAAUGUAGUUACAGUAUGAUGAUUUCUUCAAUUUAGCAUCAAACUCAGAAUUAAUCAUAAUCUAGUUGUAGUAAUCUUGUUGUUUAUUCGUUUCAAUACUCAUUUUAGAACUUAGUAAGGCAAUAAAUUGGAGUCUCUGGUGCGCUUCUUAUUAGCGUAAUUCAGCGCUGUAGGUUGCCAAGAGGAAACUUGGGCUAUGAUUCUGGCAGAAGCCAUUUUUUGAGAUGGCUUUUGCAUUCAACUUGUCCAUACAUAUCUUAGCAAUGAACUGAAUUUUGUUUGUAUAGGUGUAUUAGGGAUGCCAUGAGGUAUCUGAUGCUUGGUCUUUUUUCAUGGCCUUGUUUCUCGUUAGAUUGGCAGACAGCGAGAAGGAAACGGGUUUUUGCGACACUGGCUGCUCUAGUACCAGGAGCUUUCUGUUACUAUACCCCCGUUUACACCUAUCAAUGAAUUGUUCUUUCUGCGGCCGGCUUCAGUAUUUUGUCCAUCAGUGAUGAUCAACACUCGUUAGAUCCCUUGUAUGAUAUAUUAUUGAGCUGUGCUUAUUCUGCAUCUUUUUUAGUUCUUGGUUCUCUGUGAUGAUGAAAACAGAUGACGAGUCUGAUGUAAUCCAUUCUAUUAAACCAUGUGGACAAUCGAGGCAUUUGUCUGAGAGAGCUUAAUAAUUUUUUUUAAAUGACUGUGUUGCUGACAUUAUCAGGAAGACAAUUGUUGUCUGAACUAUUUGAUAAUAAUUUCAUUGUGCAUUCUGGGUGUCUUCUUGUUUGCUAUGUUUGACUUAAUGGGUGAAGUGAUGAUAUCAUAACCAUACCACAUUUCUGCAUUCACUGUGAUGAUCAAUUUACAUCAUGCACUACCAUCUGAUAUCCCAUUGCUAUUUCCAUAGUUUAGAUAUUUUUACAUGAUUAAACUUUCAGCUCUGGUAACAUUUACCCAGAAGUCCACAGUGCUUUUUUCCUUGUAUUUUAUCUCCCUGGUUCUAUUUGUUUCAUUUUUCAGAACUUAAAUGGAUUAAAUGGAUGUGAUGAUCCUUUCCCCAAAAGAUCGACUAUGAUUAUACUGUGCGCAAAUGUAAUCCCAUCAGGAUUCCAAGCCAGAAAUCUGAUCCAUCUUUUGUACUUUUGUUUUCCUUUUCAUAUUUUAUUGUUGUCUUCUGGUGAGUAUUUGAAUGCUAGGCAGGUUUCAUUUCUCCAAAUUAUCAUGCACUAUAGAAGUGUUACUCCAACCGUCACCACAAAUCCAGUUAAGAGUAUUAUUAUUUCGUCGACUUAGCAUCAAACUCUAAAUCAAUAAUCCUCUGUAGUUUCUGUCACUUGUUAUUCAUUUGGGUCAAUCUGAAACUUCUGAAGGCAAUAAAUUAGAGUCUCUGGUGCACUUCUUAAUAGUGUAAUUCAGCGCUGUACGUUGCCAAGAUGUAUCUUUGGGCUAAGAUUCUGGCACAAGCCAUUCUUUGAGAUGGCUUUUGCAUUCAACUUGUCCAUACAUAUCUUAGCACUUAACUGAAUUUUGUUUGGAAAGGGGUAUUAGGGAUGCCAUGAGGUAUCUGAUGCCUGGUCUUCUUUCAUGGCCUUGUUUCUCGUUGGAUUGGCAGACAGUGAGAGGGAAACAGGUUUUUGCGACACUGGCUGCUCUCAUACCAGGAGCUUCCUGUUACUAUACCCCCGUUUACAUCAAUCAUUUGCUUCUUUUGUUCUCAGUGAUGACCAACACUGAUUAGAUGACCGAUUCAUUCCAUUCCAUUAAACCAUGGGGACAAAAUGAGGCAUUUGUCUGAGAGAGCAUGUUAGGAGUUGAAAACACUUUUUUUUCACCCCUGCCAUUCUGUAUGAUGAAAACAGGUGACGAGUCUGAUGUAAUCCAUUCUAUUAAACCAUGUGGGCAAUCGAGGCAUUUGUCUGAGAGAACAUGUGCUUCUGUGCUAUUUUUUCUGAUUUAUUUAACUUUGUGAUUGUGAGGAGGACAAUUGUUUUCUGACGAUAAAUUUCUCCUACUCUUUCUAAAAUUCAAAUUGGCACAAAUGGCACUCCCUACAGGGUUUGUGACGACUCACCUUGGAGAUAGCGUUGAGGCAAAUAUUUAGGGGUGAUGCUCAUGUUAUGUGGAGCCUCCUCAACAGGAGCCUCACACGUCAUCUUUGUAUCUACUAGUAAGCGUCACAGGAACCAAUCGCAGCACCCAAACCGGGACGACAUGUGGUCGAUCUACCCACCGGUUUUGUCUCGCCUCUACCCUUGCCUACUUCUUGGUCAUGUUGUUCUUCGCCCGCGCCUUCAUUUGAUCGGCAUACACCUGAAAUAAAAUUUGUACAAUUACAGACAGCUGGGAUUUGUUUCAGUUUUGUUAAGAGUAUAAAACUUAGAGCAGAGCUGGCUGAGGGAUGGUGUGGCGGCACCGCCUAGUGCCGCUCCUUGAAUGCUCCAGGCUGUCAUUUGGCGUCAUCUCUGUGCCUACGCUUCUCGUCAACACCGACGACGACGACUGCAGCGCUGUCGCCGGAGCAGCCGCCUGGGUGUGGAGCUUCAUGUCAAUUCGGCGGAAGUAUUUCCUCUGCCGGAGAUAGUCUACUUGGGAGGUUACAUUCCAUGUGCCAUCCUCCCAUCUUUAUUAUAGGCAUCAUUUCUAUUGAUUUUAAAUUUGCAUCAGGGUGUUUAAUUCCUGUUGGCUAGAGUUCAGAAGAUAUUUUUCUCAGACAUUAGUAUUUCCAAAAUAAAACCAAUAAGGUUUAGUACGGAGACUAUUUUUGAGUUAUUGACAGGAAAAAACAAACAUGUGCCUUGUGCAUUAAGUUCACUUUGCAGGACAAUAUAUUGCCUAUAAUCAUAUGUUCACUGAAACUUUCAAGAAA
Molecule: non-coding RNA, 3993 nt
Organism: Triticum urartu
Lineage: Eukaryota; Viridiplantae; Streptophyta; Magnoliopsida; Poales; Poaceae
Source: RefSeq, a predicted model, not a curated record